Long non-coding RNA from Eurytemora carolleeae, 223 nucleotides. RefSeq lists it as uncharacterized. Lineage: Eukaryota; Metazoa; Arthropoda; Copepoda; Calanoida; Temoridae. The record is from RefSeq and is a predicted model, not a curated record. The transcript has 4 exons.
UUAUAUUUAAACAAAAUACUUUAAGGUUUCAUUUGUUGGUUGUGGGAAUUCCGAGGAAGAGAAGAUUGCGUUUAAUUAUGGAAGAGAGCUGUUUGUUUAUCCGUACAGAGGGGUCAGGAAAGGUCAGGAGGCCAAGGUCCUAGAUAAACGGGUAUAUAAAGGAACAUCACCGACCUCUCAUGAUUUCGGACCUCCUGGUUGUCUUAGGACGGAGAAACCGGAA